GUCGAACGAAGUAGCAAUACUUAGUGGCAGACGGGUGAGUAACAUGUAGGUAUCUGCCCUUUGGCCUGGAAUAACACGAGGAAACUUGUGCUAAUACCGGAUAAGUCUUUACGGAGAAAGCUUUAUGCACCAUUGGAUGAGCCUGCACUUGAUUAGUUUGUUGGUGGGGUAAUGGCCUACCAAGACUGUGAUCAAUAGCUGAUUUGAGAGGAUGAUCAGCCACAUUGGGACUGAGACACGGCCCAAACUCCUACGGGAGGCAGCAGUGGGGAAUCUUGCACAAUGGAGGAAACUCUGAUGCAGCGAUGCCGCGUGAGUGAAGAAGGCCUUUGGGUUGUAAAGCUCUUUCGUCGGGGAAGAAAAUGACUGUACCCGAAUAAGAAGGUCCGGCUAACUUCGUGCCAGCAGCCGCGGUAAUACGAAGGGACCUAGCGUAGUUCGGAAUUACUGGGCUUAAAGAGUUCGUAGGUGGUUGAAAAAGUUAGUGGUGAAAUCCCAGAGCUUAACUCUGGAACUGCCAUUAAAACUUUUCAGCUAGAGUAUGAUAGAGGAAAGCAGAAUUUCUAGUGUAGAGGUGAAAUUCGUAGAUAUUAGAAAGAAUACCAAUUGCGAAGGCAGCUUUCUGGAUCAUUACUGACACUGAGGAACGAAAGCAUGGGUAGCGAAGAGGAUUAGAUACCCUCGUAGUCCAUGCCGUAAACGAUGUGUGUUAGACGUUGGAAAUUUAUUUUCAGUGUCGCAGCGAAAGCGAUAAACACACCGCCUGGGGAGUACGACCGCAAGGUUAAAACUCAAAUGAAUUGACGGGGACCCGCACAAGUAGUGGAGCAUGUGGUUUAAUUCGAAGAUACGCGCAGAACCUUACCAACACUUGACAUGUUCGUCGCGACUCUAAGAGAUUAGAGUUUUCGGUUCGGCCGGACGAAACACAGGUGCUGCAUGGCUGUCGUCAGCUCGUGUCGUGAGAUGUUGGGUUAAGUCCCGCAACGAGCGCAACCCUCACUUUUAGUUGCCAUCAUUAAGUUGGGCACUCUGAAAGAACUGCCAGUGAUAAGCUGGAGGAAGGUGGGGAUGACGUCAAGUCCUCAUGGCCCUUACGUGUUGGGCUACACACGUGCUACAAUGGUAUCUACAACAGGAAGCAAGACUGCGAAGUUAAGCAAAUCCCUAAAAGAUACCUCAGUUCGGAUUGCACUCUGCAACUCGAGUGCAUGAAGCUGGAAUUACUAGUAAUCGUGGAUCAGCGUGCCACGGUGAAUGCGUUCCCGGGUCUUGUACACACCGCCCGUCACACCAUGGGAGUUGGUUCUACCUUAAG
Molecule: ribosomal RNA, 1318 nt
Filed under: uncultured bacterium
Lineage: Bacteria
Description: 16S ribosomal RNA
Rfam family: Bacterial small subunit ribosomal RNA
Source: RNAcentral